UACAGAGGUCCCAAGCGUUGUUCGGAUUCACUGGGCGUAAAGGGUGCGUAGGUGGUGAAGUAAGUCGGAUGUGAAAUCUCGGAGCUUAACUCCGAAACUGCAUUGGAAACUACUUUGCUCGAGGGUUGGAGGGGGGACUGGAAUUCUUGGUGUAGCAGUGAAAUGCGUAGAUAUCAAGAGGAACACCAGUGGCGAAGGCGAGUCCCUGGACAACACCUGACACUGAGGCACGAAAGCCGGGGGAGCAAACAGG
RNAcentral lists this ribosomal RNA (253 nucleotides) under uncultured bacterium. RNAcentral describes it as "partial 16S ribosomal RNA". It matches the Rfam family "Bacterial small subunit ribosomal RNA", at positions 524 to 776 of the family's 1533-position model. The record is from RNAcentral.